RNAcentral lists this ribosomal RNA (1335 nucleotides) under human gut metagenome. RNAcentral's name for it is "bacterial LSU rRNA". It matches the Rfam family "Bacterial large subunit ribosomal RNA", at positions 1026 to 2387 of the family's 2925-position model. The record is from RNAcentral.
CCCAGACCACCGGCUAAGGUCCCAAAGUGCGUGUUAAGUGGAAAAGGAUGUGGGAAUUCGAAGACAACUAGGAUGUUGGCUCAGAAGCAGCCAUACAUUCAAAGAGUGCGUAACAGCUCACUAGUCGAGAGUUCCUGCGCCGAAAAUGUCCGGGGCUGAAACACGACACCGAAGCCGUGGACUCGCAAUGCGAGUGGUAGAGGAGCAUUCUUAAAACCGACGAAGCUGUACCGAAAGGAGCAGUGGAGGGAUAAGAAGAGAGAAUGCCGGAAUGAGUAGCGAGAGAAAGGUGGGAAUCCUUUCGGCCGAAUAUCUAAGGUUUCCAGAGUAAAGCUGAUCUGCUCUGGGUAAGUCGGGGCCUAAGCACAGGUCGCAAGACGUAAGCGAUGGAUAACAGGUUUAGAUUCCUGUACCACGCAUUAUCAGAACUGUAGGGACGCAUGUGGAAAGCACGAGCCGGGAAUGGAAAGACCGGUACAAGCGGGGUAGGUGUACGAUAGGCAAAUCCGUCGUAUGAUCCGAAGACGUGAUGUGGAGCGAAAUAAAGUAGUGAAGCGUGUGAGCCAUGUGCCGAGAAAAGCUGCUAUUGUGUAAUGCGUGCCCGUACCGUAAACCGACACAGGUGGAUGAGGAGAGAAUCCUAAGGCCGACGGAAGAAGCAUUGUUAAGGAAUUCGGCAAAAUGACCCCGUAACUUCGGGAGAAGGGGUGCCUGCGAGAGCAGGCCGCAGAGAAUAGGCUCAAGCAACUGUUUAGCAAAAACACAGGUCUAUGCGAAACCGAAAGGUGAGGUAUAUGGGCUGACGCCUGCCCGGUGCUGGAAGGUUAAGAGGAGAGGUUAGCGCAAGCGAAGCUUUGAAUUUAAGCCCCAGUAAACGGCGGCCGUAACUAUAACGGUCCUAAGGUAGCGAAAUUCCUUGUCGGGUAAGUUCCGACCCGCACGAAAGGCGUAAUGAUUUGAGCGCUGUCUCGACAAUGCAUCCGGUGAAAUUGAAGUACCAGUGAAGAUGCUGGUUACCUGCGCCAGGACGGAAAGACCCCAUGGAGCUUUACUCCAGUUUGGUACUGGGAUCCGGUACUGCAUGUACAGGAUAGGUGGGAGGCUGAGAAUCGGUAACGCCAGUUGCCGAGGAGCCGCUGUUGGGAUACCACCCUUGCAGUAUUGGGUUUCUAACCAGCCGCCGUGACCCGGCGGUGGGACAAUGCCAGACGGGGAGUUUGACUGGGGCGGUCGCCUCCGAAAGGGUAUCGGAGGCGCCCAAAGGUUCCCUCAGAAUGGACGGAAACCAUUCGAAGAGUGCAAAGGCAGAAGGGAGCUUGACUGCGACACCGACGG